GCCAGGGUGAUGUAGUGGUUUGAGCAUUGGACUAGGACUCUGGAGACCAGAGUUUGAAUCUCAGCUCAGCCA
Non-coding RNA from Phrynosoma platyrhinos (Desert horned lizard), 72 nucleotides. The record is from the annotation of a GenBank genome assembly. NCBI's taxonomy places the organism in Eukaryota, Metazoa, Chordata, Lepidosauria, Squamata, Phrynosomatidae.